CCUUCAUGAAGCUGGAAUUGCUAGUAAUGGCAGGUCAGCAUACUGCCGUGAAUACGUUCCCGGGCCUUGUACACACCGCCCGUCACACCAUGAGAGUUGGGAAUACCCGAAGCCUGUGAGCUAACUUAUAGAGGCAGCAGUCGAAGGUAGAAUCAAUGAUUGGGGUGAAGUCGUAACAAGGUACC
Molecule: ribosomal RNA, 185 nt
Filed under: uncultured bacterium
Lineage: Bacteria
Description: partial 16S ribosomal RNA
Rfam family: Bacterial small subunit ribosomal RNA
Source: RNAcentral